GACGGUACAACGAGUCGCAAGACCGCGAGGUUUAGCAAAUCUCUUAAAGCCGUUCUCAGUUCGGAUUGUAGGCUGCAACUCGCCUACAUGAAGUCGGAAUCGCUAGUAAUCGCGGAUCAGCAUGCCGCGGUGAAUACGUUCCCGGGCCUUGUACACACCGCCCGUCACACCAUGAGAGUUUGUAACACCCAAAGCCGGUGGGGUAACCUUUAUGGAGGGAGCCGCCUAAGGCGGGACAGAUGACUGGGGUGAAGUCGUAACAAGGUACC
Molecule: ribosomal RNA, 269 nt
Filed under: uncultured bacterium
Lineage: Bacteria
Description: partial 16S ribosomal RNA
Rfam family: Bacterial small subunit ribosomal RNA
Source: RNAcentral